GAUGAACGCUGGCGGCGUGCCUAAUACAUGCAAGUCGAGCGAACAGACGAGGAGCUUGCUCCUCUGACGUUAGCGGCGGACGGGUGAGUAACACGUGGAUAACCUACCUAUAAGACUGGGAUAACUUCGGGAAACCGGAGCUAAUACCGGAUAAUAUAUUGAACCGCAUGGUUCAAUUGUGAAAGACGGUUUUGCUGUCACUUAUAGAUGGAUCCGCGCCGCAUUAGCUAGUUGGUAAGGUAACGGCUUACCAAGGCAACGAUGCGUAGCCGACCUGAGAGGGUGAUCGGCCACACUGGAACUGAGACACGGUCCAGACUCCUACGGGAGGCAGCAGUAGGGAAUCUUCCGCAAUGGGCGAAAGCUUGACGGAGCAACGCCGCGUGAGUGAUGAAGGUCUUCGGAUCGUAAAACUCUGUUAUUAGGGAAGAACAAAUGUGUAAGUAACUAUGCACGUCUUGACGGUACCUAAUCAGAAAGCCACGGCUAACUACGUG
RNAcentral lists this ribosomal RNA (497 nucleotides) under uncultured bacterium. Its description in RNAcentral is "partial 16S ribosomal RNA". It matches the Rfam family "Bacterial small subunit ribosomal RNA", at positions 28 to 507 of the family's 1533-position model. The record is from RNAcentral.